Molecule: ribosomal RNA, 404 nt
Filed under: uncultured bacterium
Lineage: Bacteria
Also listed under: 1 other name
Description: bacterial SSU rRNA
Rfam family: Bacterial small subunit ribosomal RNA
Source: RNAcentral
UGGGGGAUAUUGGACAAUGGGGGCAACCCUGAUCCAGCGACGCCGCGUGAGGGAAGAAGGUUUUCGGAUUGUAAACCUCUGUCAACAGGGAAAAUAAUGAUGGUACCUGUGGAGGAAGCCACGGCUAACUACGUGCCAGCAGCCGCGGUAAUACGUAGGUGGCAAGCGUUGUCCGGAAUUACUGGGUGUAAAGGGAGCGUAGGCGGGACGGCAAGUCAGAAGUGAAAAUUAUGGGCUCAACUCAUAACCUGCUUUUGAAACUGUUGUUCUUGAGUGAAGUAGAGGCAAGCGGAAUUCCUAGUGUAGCGGUGAAAUGCGUAGAUAUUAGGAGGAACACCAGUGGCGAAGGCGGCUUGCUGGGCUUUUACUGACGCUGAGGCUCGAAAGCGUGGGGAGCAAACAGG